ACCAAGUAUGAUAGUGCAUUCCUGUGGUCCCUGCUAAUGCAGAGGUUGAGGCUGGUAGAUUAUUUGAGCUCAGGAAUUUUGAACUUUAGGAGAGAUAAAUCCAUUCAGGUGUCUGGACUAAGUCCAGCGCUAGUAUGAUGAACCACCAGGCUGCCUAAGAAUGAGUGAACUGAAUCAGGUCAGAAAUAGAGCAGGUCAAAGCUCCCAUGCUGAUCAUUCAUGGGAUUGGGUCCGUGUGACAGCUGCAUUUGCAGCCUGGGUGAGAUAAGGAGCACUAGUCUCAA
This 284-nucleotide signal recognition particle RNA is filed under the name Vombatus ursinus (common wombat). RNAcentral describes it as "Metazoan signal recognition particle RNA (ENSVURG00010012357.1)". It matches the Rfam family "Metazoan signal recognition particle RNA". From Rfam's summary of the family: The signal recognition particle (SRP) is a universally conserved ribonucleoprotein. It is involved in the co-translational targeting of proteins to membranes. The eukaryotic SRP consists of a 300-nucleotide 7S RNA and six proteins: SRPs 72, 68, 54, 19, 14, and 9. Lineage: Eukaryota; Metazoa; Chordata; Mammalia; Diprotodontia; Vombatidae. The record is from Rfam by way of RNAcentral.